This 469-nucleotide ribosomal RNA is filed under the name uncultured bacterium. Its description in RNAcentral is "partial 16S ribosomal RNA". It matches the Rfam family "Bacterial small subunit ribosomal RNA", at positions 28 to 507 of the family's 1533-position model. The record is from RNAcentral.
GACGAACGCUGGCGGCGUGCUUAACACAUGCAAGUCGAACGGAAAGGCCCUGCUUGCAGGGUGCUCGAGUGGCGAACGGGUGAGUAACACGUGGGUGAUCUGCCCCUUACUUUGGGAUAAGCCUGGGAAACUGGGUCUAAUACUGGAUAGGACCAUGCUGUAGGUGGUGUGGUGGAAAGAUUAGUUUCGGUAAGGGAUGAGCUCGCGGCCUAUCAGCUUGUUGGUGGGGUAAUGGCCUACCAAGGCGUCGGCGGGUAGCCGGCCUGAGAGGGUGGACGGCCACAUUGGGACUGAGAUACGGCCCAGACUCCUACGGGAGGCAGCAGUGGGGAAUAUUGCACAAUGGGCGCAAGCCUGAUGCAGAGACGCCGCGUGGGGGAUGACGGCCUUCGGGUUGUAAACUCCUUUCAGCCAUGACGAAGCCCUUGUGGUGACGGUAGUGGUAGAAGAAGCACCGGCUAACUACGUG